AAAUUGAAGAGUUUGAUCAUGGCUCAGAUUGAACGCUGGCGGCAGGCCUAACACAUGCAAGUCGAACGGUAGCAGGAAGCAGCUUGCUGCUUCGCUGACGAGUGGCGGACGGGUGAGUAAUGUCUGGGAAACUGCCUGAUGGAGGGGGAUAACUACUGGAAACGGUGGCUAAUACCGCAUAACGUCGCAAGACCAAAGAGGGGGACCUUCGGGCCUCUUGCCAUC
Molecule: ribosomal RNA, 225 nt
Filed under: Salmonella enterica subsp. enterica serovar Moero
Lineage: Bacteria; Pseudomonadati; Pseudomonadota; Gammaproteobacteria; Enterobacterales; Enterobacteriaceae
Description: partial 16S ribosomal RNA
Rfam family: Bacterial small subunit ribosomal RNA
Source: RNAcentral